Molecule: ribosomal RNA, 229 nt
Filed under: uncultured bacterium
Lineage: Bacteria
Description: partial 16S ribosomal RNA
Rfam family: Bacterial small subunit ribosomal RNA
Source: RNAcentral
GACAGAGGGUGCAAACGUUGUUCGGAAUUACUGGGCGUAAAGCGCGUGUAGGCGGCCCUGCAAGUCGGGUGUGAAAUCCCACGGCUCAACCGUGGAAGUGCACUCGAAACUGCAGGGCUAGAGUCCUGGAGAGGAAGGUGGAAUGCUUGGUGGUAGAGGUGAAAUUCGUAGAUAUCGAGAGGAACACCGGUGGCGAAGGCGGCCUUCUGGACAGUGACUGACGCUGAGA